This 1345-nucleotide ribosomal RNA is filed under the name metagenome. Its description in RNAcentral is "bacterial LSU rRNA". It matches the Rfam family "Bacterial large subunit ribosomal RNA", at positions 1564 to 2925 of the family's 2925-position model. The record is from RNAcentral.
UGAGUACGAGCGGCUACGGCCGCGAAGUGGAUGAUGUCAAGCUUCCAAGAAAAGCCCUAUACCCGUUAAGGCAUGAUGGCCUGUACCCGAAACCGACACAGGUGGGGUGGUAGAGAAUACCGAGGGGCGCGAGGUAAUUCUCUCUAAGGAACUCGGCAAAAUGGCCCCGUAACUUCGGGAGAAGGGGUGCCACCGCGAGGUGGUCGCAGUGAAGAGGCCCAGGCGACUGUUUACCAAAAACACAGGUCUCCGCUAAGUCGCAAGACGAUGUAUGGGGGCUGACGCCUGCCCAGUGCCGGAAGGUUAAGGAAGCUGGUCAGCGCAAGCGAAGCUGGCGACUGAAGCCCCGGUGAACGGCGGCCGUAACAAUAACGGUCCUAAGGUAGCGAAAUUCCUUGUCGGGUAAGUUCCGACCCGCACGAAAGGCGUAACGAUCUGGGCGCUGUCUCGGAGAGAGGCUCGGCGAAAUAGAAUUGUCUGUGAAGAUGCGGACUACGUGCACCCGGACAGAAAGACCCUAUGAAGCUUUACUGUAGCUUGGUAUUGUGCUCGGGCUCGGAAUGCGCAGGAUAGGUGGGAGGCUUUGAUCCAUUGCUUGCGGGUGAUGGUGAGCCACUGGUGAGAUACCACUCUUUCCGAGCUAGAGUUCUAACAGCAACCCGUUAUCCGGGUGCUGGACAGUAUCAGGUGGGCAGUUUGACUGGGGCGGUCGCCUCCUAAAAGGUAACGGAGGCGCGCAAAGGUCUGCUCAGGCUGGUUGGAAAUCAGCCGACGAGUGUAAAAGCAGAAGCAGGCUUGACUGUGAGACCUACAAGUCGAACAGGGAGGAAACUCGGCUUUAGUGAUCCGACGGUUCUGCGUGGAAGGGCCGUCGCUCAACGGAUAAAAGUUACUCUAGGAUAACAGGCUGAUCUCCCCCAAGAGUUCACAUCGACGGGGAGGUUUGGCACCUCGAUGUCGGCUCAUCGCAACCUGGGGCUGAAGUCGGUCCCAAGGGUUGGGCUGUUCGCCCAUUAAAGCGGUACGCGAGCUGGGUUCAGAACGUCGUGAGACAGUUCGGUCCAUAUCCGGUGCACGCGCAGGAAUAUUGAGAGGAUUUCUCCCUAGUACGAGAGGACCGGGAGGAACGCACCUCUGGUGUGCCAGUUAUCGUGCCAACGGUAAACGCUGGGUAGCCAUGUGCGGAGUGGAUAACCGCUGAAAGCAUCUAAGUGGGAAGCCCACCUCAAGAUGAGUAUUCCCAUGGCAUAAGCCAGUAAGGUCACGGGAAGAACACCCGUUGAUAGGCUCUACGUGGAAGCGCAGUAAUGUGUGAAGCGGAGGAGUACUAAUAGACCGAGGGCUU